RNAcentral lists this ribosomal RNA (191 nucleotides) under uncultured Streptococcaceae bacterium. Its description in RNAcentral is "partial 16S ribosomal RNA". It matches the Rfam family "Bacterial small subunit ribosomal RNA", at positions 151 to 334 of the family's 1533-position model. The record is from RNAcentral. Lineage: Bacteria; Bacillati; Bacillota; Bacilli; Lactobacillales; Streptococcaceae.
UGGAAACGAAUAGCUAAUACCGCAUGAAAUUAGCUUAUCGCAUGAUAAUUAAUUGUAAAGAUGCAAUUGCAUCACUACCAGAUGGACCUGCGUUGUAUUAGCUAGUUGGUGAGGUAACGGCUCACCAAGGCGACGAUACAUAGCCGACCUGAGAGGGUGAUCGGCCACACUGGGACUGAGACACGGCCCAG